CGGGGAAUAGCGCAGUCUGGUAGCGCGCAAGCUUUGGGAGCUUGAAGCCGUGGGUUCAAAUCCCACUUCCCCGACCA
This 77-nucleotide transfer RNA is filed under the name Myxococcales bacterium. RNAcentral's name for it is "tRNA-Pro". It matches the Rfam family "tRNA". Rfam says of the family: Transfer RNA (tRNA) molecules are approximately 80 nucleotides in length. Their secondary structure includes four short double-helical elements and three loops (D, anti-codon, and T loops). Lineage: Bacteria; Pseudomonadati; Myxococcota; Myxococcia; Myxococcales. The record is from RNAcentral.